CCUACGGGAGGCAGUAGUGGGGAAUAUUGGACAAUGGGGGGAACCCUGAUCCAGCGACGCCGCGUGAGUGAAGAAGUAUUUCGGUAUGUAAAGCUCUAUCAGCCGGGAAGAAAGAAAUGACGGUACCUGACUAAGAAGCCCCGGCUAACUACGUGCCAGCAUCAGCGGUAAUACGUAGGUGGCAAGCGUUAUCCGGAUUUACUGGGUGUAAAGGGAGCGUAGACGGCGAUGCAAGUCUGAAGUGAAAGGCGGGGGCGCAACCCCUGGACUGCUUUGGAAACUGUAUGGCUGGAGUGCAGGAGAGGUAAGUGGAAUUCCUAGUGUAGCGGUGAAAUGCGUAGAUAUUAGGAGGAACACCAGUGGCGAAGGCGGCUUACUGGACUGUAACUGACGUUGAGGCUCGAAAGCGUGGGGAGCAAACAGGAUUAGAUACCCGUGUAGUC
Molecule: ribosomal RNA, 443 nt
Filed under: uncultured bacterium
Lineage: Bacteria
Description: partial 16S ribosomal RNA
Rfam family: Bacterial small subunit ribosomal RNA
Source: RNAcentral